GUGAGGAAUAUUGGUCAAUGGGCGAGAGCCUGAACCAGCCAAGUAGCGUGAAGGAUGACUGCCCUAUGGGUUGUAAACUUCUUUUAUAAAGGAAUAAAGUCGGGUAUGGAUACCCGUUUGCAUGUACUUUAUGAAUAAGGAUCGGCUAACUCCGUGCCAGCAGCCGCGGUAAUACGGAGGAUCCGAGCGUUAUCCGGAUUUAUUGGGUUUAAAGGGAGCGUAGAUGGAUGUUUAAGUCAGUUGUGAAAGUUUGCGGCUCAACCGUAAAAUUGCAGUUGAUACUGGAUAUCUUGAGUGCAGUUGAGGCAGGCGGAAUUCGUGGUGUAGCGGUGAAAUGCUUAGAUAUCACGAAGAACUCCGAUUGCGAAGGCAGCCUGCUAAGCUGCAACUGACAUUGAGGCUCGAAAGUGUGGGUAUCAAACAGG
RNAcentral lists this ribosomal RNA (425 nucleotides) under bacterium. RNAcentral's name for it is "bacterial SSU rRNA". It matches the Rfam family "Bacterial small subunit ribosomal RNA", at positions 354 to 776 of the family's 1533-position model. The record is from RNAcentral. RNAcentral also lists the same sequence under 2 other names.